This 367-nucleotide ribosomal RNA is filed under the name uncultured organism. RNAcentral describes it as "bacterial LSU rRNA". It matches the Rfam family "Bacterial large subunit ribosomal RNA", at positions 2099 to 2465 of the family's 2925-position model. The record is from RNAcentral.
CUUUACUAUAACUUGGCCCUGAAACCCGAAUUUAUCUGUGUAGGAUAGGUGGGAGACUUUGAAGCUGUGGCGCUAGCCAUAGUGGAGUCAACCUUGAAAUACCACCCUGAUGAAUUUGUGUUUCUAACCUAGUCCCAUUAUCUGGGACGGGGACACGGUCUGGUGGGUAGUUUGACUGGGGCGGUCGCCUCCCAAAUUGUAACGGAGGCGCACAAAGGUUCCCUCAGCCUGGACGGAAAUCAGGCGUAGAGUGUAUUGGCACAAGGGAGCUUGACUGUGAGACUGACAGGUCGAUCAGGUGCGAAAGCAGGUCAAAGUGAUCCGGCGGUCCCGAAUGGAAGGGCCGUCGCUCAACGGAUAAAAGGUA